This is a long non-coding RNA of Daphnia pulex (common water flea), 515 nucleotides long. RefSeq lists it as uncharacterized. The transcript is spliced from 5 exons. The record is from RefSeq and is a predicted model, not a curated record. NCBI's taxonomy places the organism in Eukaryota, Metazoa, Arthropoda, Branchiopoda, Diplostraca, Daphniidae.
AUUGUGUCAGUUAUGGGCUUAUGGCGUUUUGCUGUCAGAAGUUAAGUUAUCUUUUCUUCGAAAAUUACCAAUGAAUUCAUAGUCUGAUAACUGAAAACUUACAGUCUGAAUGUCGUGCAGCCGGCCGUCAACUAUUUUGUUCAAACUCAUUGUAUUCUACUGAAUGUGCCAUCGAAAUGAUACAGGAUUCAUCAUAAUUAUCGGCUGUUUCUAUUGGAUUUGCUAGAUCACCAACCCCAGCAUGGACCAAUCUCUCAUUCCAGCUUCUAGAGAAUCUCGGAUAACUGAUUGGCGGUUUCAUGUGAUCUAAACUCCAGGUUUCUAAAUUUGCACGGCAGACUUUAUGAGAAUUCAUGUCCUUUCAAGUAAGUCAACAAGGUCACUUGUGUAGUAACCUGUUGGCUGCUACCCUUGAAUCUCCCUUUUUACUUUCUAAAGCGGCCAUCUUAAUUUGAGGGUAAUCCUUCGCUACUUUUCAUGGACUUCAUCCACUGGUGAAAACCGACGAGAGAAUG